RNAcentral lists this ribosomal RNA (2226 nucleotides) under wastewater metagenome. RNAcentral describes it as "bacterial LSU rRNA". It matches the Rfam family "Bacterial large subunit ribosomal RNA", at positions 51 to 2309 of the family's 2925-position model. The record is from RNAcentral.
GAAGGACGUGAUAAGCUGCGAAAAGCUACGGGGAUUGGCACACACGAAUUGAUCCGUAGAUAUCCGAAUGGGGCAACCCAAUGCAUUGAAGAUGCAUUACCCGAUAGGGGGCAAACCCGCUGAACUGAAACAUCUAAGUAGGCGGAGGAGAAGAAAACAAAAGUGAUUCCGUAAGUAGUGGCGAGCGAACGCGGAUUAGCCCAAACCAGAGUUGUUACGGCAAUUUUGGGGUUGUAGGACCACGACAUUCUAUGCGGAUUGAACCGGAAUAACCUGGAAAGGUUAACCAGAGAGGGUGAUAGUCCUGUAUGGGUAAGAGAAGAUAUAGAUAGUGGUAUCCUGAGUAGCGCGGGGCACGUGAAACCCUGUGUGAAUUUGGCGGGACCAUCCGCUAAGGCUAAAUACUCCUGAGAGACCGAUAGUGAACCAGUACCGUGAGGGAAAGGUGAAAAGAACCGUGAAUAACGGAGUGAAAUAGAUCCUGAAACCAUACGCUUACAAGCGGUCGGAGCCCUUUCGUGGGGUGACGGCGUGCCUUUUGCAUAAUGAGCCUACGAGUUACCGUUGCUGGCAAGGAUAAGUGCUUAAGGCAUGGAUCCGUAGCGAAAGCGAGUCUGAAUAGGGCGCUUUAGUCAGUAAUGUUAGACGCGAAACCGUGUGAUCUACCCAUGGGCAGGAUGAAGCUGUGGUAACACAUAGUGGAGGUCCGAACCGGUUGACGUUGAAAAGUCUUCGGAUGACCUGUGGGUAGGGGUGAAAGGCCAAUCAAACUGGGAGAUAGCUCGUACUCCCCGAAAUGCAUUUAGGUGCAGCGUUGCGACAAGUUUAUUAGAGGUAGAGCUACUGAUUGGAUGCGGGGGUUUCAUCGCCUACCAAUUCCUGACAAACUCCGAAUGCUAAUAAAUGUUUCGCAGCAGUGAGGGCAUGGGUGCUAAGGUCCAUGUCCGAGAGGGAAAGAACCCAGACCAUCAGCUAAGGUCCCCAAAUGUAUGCUAAGUUGAAAAAACGAGGUUUGUCUGCCCAGACAGCUAGGAUGUUGGCUUGGAAGCAGCCAUUCAUUUAAAGAGUGCGUAACAGCUCACUAGUCGAGCGGUCCGGCAUGGAUAAUAAUCGGGCAUAAACAUAUUACCGAAGCUAUGGAUUUGUAAUUUAUUACAAGUGGUAGGGGAGCAUUCUAACAGGGUUGAAGGUGUAUCGUAAGGUAUGCUGGACUGGUUAGAAAAGAAAAUGUAGGCAUAAGUAACGAUAAUGCGGGCGAGAAACCCGCACACCGAAAAACUAAGGUUUCCGCAGCUAUGCUAAUCAGCUGCGGGUUAGUCGGGUCCUAAGGCGAACCCGAAAGGGACAGUCGAUGGCCAACGGGUUAAUAUUCCCGUACUACUUAUAAUUGUGAUGGAGAGACGCAGUGGUGAAAGUACCGCGAACUGACGGAAUAGUUCGUUAAAGCACUUAGCUAUAGGCCCGGUAGGCAAAUCCGCUGGGACUGGUGAAAUGCGAUAGUACUCAGAGUCUUCGGACAACGAGAUAGUGUACCUAAAGGCUGCCAAGAAAAUCUUCUAAACUUAGAUUAUAAGUACCCGUACCGUAAACCGACACAGGUAGUUGAGGAGAGAAUCCUAAGGUGCUCGAGAGAUUCAUGGCUAAGGAAUUAGGCAAAAUAGACCUGUAACUUCGGGAGAAAGGUCGCCAGCAGCAAUGCUGGCCGCAGUGAAAAGAUCCAGGCGACUGUUUAUCAAAAACACAGGGCUCUGCAAAAUCGUAAGAUGAAGUAUAGGGCCUGACACCUGCCCGGUGCUGGAAGGUUAAGAGGAGAUGUUAUCUUCGGAGAAGCAUUGAAUUGAAGCCCCAGUAAACGGCGGCCGUAACUAUAACGGUCCUAAGGUAGCGAAAUUCCUUGUCGGGUAAGUUCCGACCUGCACGAAUGGUGUAACGAUCUGGACACUGUCUCAGCCAUGAGCUCGGUGAAAUUGUAGUAGCGGUGAAGAUGCCGCUUACCCGCAGUGGGACGAAAAGACCCUGUGCACCUUUACUAUAGCUUAAUAUUGACCUUGGACACGUGAUGUGUAGGAUAGGUGGGAGACUAUGAAGUGGCGUCGCUAGGCGUUGUGGAGUCAUUGUUGAAAUACCACCCUUUGCUUGUCUGAGGCCUAACCCCGCGCUGCGGGGGACAUUGUUUGGUGGGUAGUUUGACUGGGGUGGUCGCCUCCAAAAGAGUAACGGAGGCUU